CGCUAUCAGAUGAGCCUAGGUCGGAUUAGCUAGUUGGUGAGGUAAUGGCUCACCAAGGCUACGAUCCAUAACUGGUCUGAGAGGAUGAUCCAGUCACACUGGAACUGAGACACGGUCCAGACUCCUACGGGAGGCAGCAGUGGGGAAUAUUGGACAAUGGGCGAAAGCCUGAUCCAGCCAUGCCGCGUGUGUGAAGAAGGUCUUCGGAUUGUAAAGCACUUUAAGUUGGGAGGAAGGGCAUAACCUAAUACGUUA
Molecule: ribosomal RNA, 255 nt
Filed under: uncultured bacterium
Lineage: Bacteria
Description: partial 16S ribosomal RNA
Rfam family: Bacterial small subunit ribosomal RNA
Source: RNAcentral